CAGCCUGUCUCUGGCCAUGUCCAUCCAUUUGUUAAUCACAAAGCUCAAAACAUCCAAGACAGGUUUCUUGAACACAACACAAACAAAUUGUCAUAUUUGUCUAAUAUUGAACUAAUAUUGAAUUGCAACUGAAGCAAGCAGCAAUAUCUAUCAGCACAGUUUAAAAUAUUUCCAAAACUUUUCUGAUGCCUUAUAAGCAGUAUCAGUGAGUCUUACAGUUAUCCUGCUAUAUGAAUUUGUUAUAAAUUCGACGCAUAUAAGCGAUAUGGUAAAAGUGCCUUCAUUGUGAGGAACUCCCAGCCUGCAUGAAUCGAACUAAUUGCUGCCAUGGUAACCAGCUUACUAUUGAAGCUAGAUCCUCUUUAGCUGCUGUGACCAGGUAUCUAGCAAAGAUUUCAUGUGCUGCAGGGUGAGGAAUACGCCAGCUCAAUGGAUGUCAUGGAGGAAAACAUGUCACCAAAGAAGAUGCUUGAGAAAAUUGCAGAGCUGGAAUACAGUCAGAGUCUGCUGAGAGAUCAAAAUGCUGACAUGAGGAAAUUGCUGGAUGCCGCAGAUGAUGACAUGGCAGCGCUGGGCUCAGAGAAUAAGUCCCUCAGAAAAGUAGUUGAAACCAUGGAGAACUUUUUCCAAGACUUGCAACAGACUGAAGCAGAGCCUUGCAUAGCUCUGGCAGAUGACUUCGAGGCACAUAGAUGGAAUGUAGAAAAGAUCCAUGAAUUGGAGAAGGAAUCCACCGUAAUGAAGGAACAAUAUGAGAAACUAACUGCAAAGUUUCAAAGGGAAGAGGACCAGUCAAAACUGGAGCACAAGGAUGAGGUUAUUCAUCAGGCAAACUUGCAGUUGAAGCAAUUACAUGAAACUGUGGAAGAGUGCUUCAACAACAUAAAGGACCUCAGGCAGACAACGCAGGAGCUGAGUAAGCAGAUGGAGGACAGACGAGAUGAGGCCACAUUUGACCUGAUGAGAGAGAAGGAACGAGUGCCCGACCGCCCUCUGUCCUUUGCAGAGGAAAUUAAACUGCUGGCCUCAACAGCUGAAGUGAAUGACGGCAUGACAAACUCCACAAAUCUUGGAAAUUGUCUACAGGAGGAACCUGAGACUGAGGAGCUGCUGAAACCUCAUCUUCUCACAGUUAACCUUCAAUCUAAAAGCUGCCCAGGUACUUUGGAGGCAGCGAUCUGGAGAGUAGGUUUCUUUAUGCUGUGCAUCUUCAUUCUCAUGAUUUUAGCCAUUGUGGCUUCAGGAUGCUUUGUAGGAACAUCUGACUUCUCUUCCAUCACCACUUUGUGGGCUAGCGCCCACCUGAUGUUACAGCCCUACUUGAGUGUACAGUAUGGGGCCUUGCCUCCCAUUUGAGCUUAACUCUCUCUCUCUGGUCUGUUCUUGUAUUUCUGUUCUUGUAUUUUUUGUAAACAUGAGUUCAGAAAACAAACAAAUAAAACUUCAGCCUCAGGGUCUUGCAUGAGCUUGCUGACUGUCUGUUACACUGUUUUGACAGAAACUUCUAGAUUCUAAACCAGCAGCAUUUAGAAGCUGUGCUGAUCAAUAAAAUCAUAUGAGCAAAAGCAAGUAUCUUAACUACA
Long non-coding RNA from Oreochromis aureus, 1583 nucleotides. The record is from Ensembl. Lineage: Eukaryota; Metazoa; Chordata; Actinopteri; Cichliformes; Cichlidae.